Molecule: long non-coding RNA, 1955 nt
Filed under: Mus pahari (shrew mouse)
Lineage: Eukaryota; Metazoa; Chordata; Mammalia; Rodentia; Muridae
Description: lncRNA (MGP_PahariEiJ_G0012113.1)
Source: RNAcentral
CUUCAUUUUCCUGUUGCGGUCCUUGCCAUCCGCUGCCAUGCCUCCUCUCCGCCACGCCUCCCCAUCAUUAUGGAGAUGGACUUGUCUUGGAACCAUAAGCCAAAUAAAGCCUUCCUUGUCCAGGCCUGCUUGAACCAAUAUUGCGACUGAAAUUUGUCGUAGGCUGGGGCAUUUGCUGGAACAGGAAAUGGAGAACAUUACGGCAGAGUGAAGCCCUUUUGUUUCCAGGUCGAAGCUGUUGUGUUUGUAAAGAAAAGGAAGCGGAGAACAGGCUGGCGCUGGUAUCAUUAUUUCCCCCUUCCUGAAUAUUUCCUACCAAGCAACUGCUUUGGAAAUAACAAAAUGAUUUCACUAUGGGAAAAAAUGCAGAGAAAAGAAUCCGGGGCUGUUUGAUUGGCUAAUAAUGAACAUAAAGGACUUCGUGCUUGUUGAAUGGCAGAUUGAAAUCCAGCUAGUUGGUGAGAACAUUCCAGGGUUCCAUGGGUGGCUUUCCGGAUUGCCUCUAGGACUUGCUUCUGGAGAGCAGAAUAGGAGCAAUAAAACAAAAAGAAGUUAUAUUUACAAUCUUAGACAUAAAAAUUUAUAGCAAGAAAACCCAUAAAGAUUGUACCUAUUGUCUGUGUACCCUAUUCCACCGUUUGCAUUGAGGAGAGACAGAAAUCAGAGGUGUGUUCAGCCUGAAUUGUCUGUUCCCCAUGUGUGCAUCCUACACAUCCAGGGACAUGUGUGCAUCCAGGGACAACAGGGAAGAGUACUGGAUUCCCUGGGACUGGAGUUACAGACAGCUAGAACUACCACAGGGGUCCUGGAAACCAAACCAAGAUCCACUGCAGGAGCAGCACGUGCUCUCAAUUGAUGAACUGGCUCUCUAAUCUCACCUUGAUGGACUUAGUCCAGGGGAGUUGACCUUCCCUUCACUUGUGGCACUGUAGUUUGUGCAUGAUCACAGUAGUCUAGGCCUCCAGUCAACAGGACAGAAACUGCCAACUGGAAGUUUUUCCAUGUUGGAAAUACAACUGUGAGACCCAGAGCCUGGAAUUCCUGGCACAAGAACAUUUUCCCCAGAUUGCUUUAUAAUUAUUUCUUCAAGUGUCUGCCUCCUGACUAACGUGACAUGUGGAGCGAGUCACCGGUCAGAGUCUUCCUUGUCUCCAAAGCGCUUGGCAAGAUGCCUGAUAGCAAAUAUUUAUCGAAUACCAUCUGGGUGCCAAAGAACUCCUCCAGGGACCGCAGAAACUGCAAGGGAAACACUCCUGCUCUUGCCGAGAGAUGGCAGAUCCCUUGCGUGGCCAUUCGAUGCCUAUGUCUGGACACAGUGUAAGGACUAAGUCUUUUUGAUCUAGUGAAGACGGUCAAGUUUCAUGAGUUUUGUCUCUGCAUUAAGUGGAAGAUGCUACGAAGGGAACAAACCCUGGAGACGUGGAACUGCUGCUUCCUGGACUUAGCCAUGCUCAUCCUACUUUAAAAGCCUUCAGGUGUCUGAGACAUGUGGAUUUCCAGUCCUGUAUAACACUGCUUGUCCAUCCUCUGCACACAUUCAGCUUCUCUCAAUACUUGUUCAAGGAUGAUAAAGGGGUUUAAGUGCCUUUGGCCACAGAAAGAAAUGGGUAAGUUUGUUGAGAAUGUAUGUAGCCCAAGUUCAUGUAAAAACACAUGUAUCAUGGAACACGUAUGUCUUCAGAAGCCAGCAGACAACUUUGUGUAGUGAUUGUAACCUCACAUGUUACCACCGGACCAGCCUGGACCCAUCUCCUUUGGUCUUAUGGGAUGUGCUUCCAUCUGAAUAACAUUGGCAAUAUUUCUUUUUAGAAGAAUGUGGUAGGGUUGUUUUCUUUUUUAAUUUCAAAUAACACCACUCCUUGAACUGGGAACAAACAAUUCACUUGCAUCUCAGCUCUGCAUUUAUUUGUAAUUUUCACAUAAAUCAACUUAUAUGAAAAUGUAUUCAUAAUUUG